GUGAACCAGAGGAUCCCGAUUAUUCAGCAUCGACGAGAUUUGCAAUCGACAUUCUCUUCCUUUCGCCGCUCAUUAUAUUGCGCCGCUUUAACCGCACGGAUCUCCUCCUCUUCGUCACGGGUUCGUUUCUCCGAAAAGGAGGAAAACGAGGUAGAGAGAUGGCGAGAACAGAGAAGCAUGGCGUAGUGCAAGCUGGCGAAGGUGGAUAGGGAAGGCGCAUCACCGUGCCGCGACCGCCACAGACCACUACCACCCCCACCAAUUAACCGUCCUUCUCCUCCCAAGUCACGAAGCCGCUGGAAACAAGAGAUACGCCUGGGGUACAGAGAGGGAGAGAGUAAAGUCAGAUUGCACAGUCUGCGAAAGCGGGAGACACGCGGGGACUUGAGACAAAUCCGUGUAAUUGGUAUUAAACAAAGGAAAGGAAAGAAAGUUGCAUGAAGAGGACGGAGAGAAAGCAAAUUUCAGAGAAAGGAGAGAAAGAGAGAGAGAGAGAGAGAGAGAAAGAAAAAACUAAGAUAAAAGGGGAAGAAAUGGUCGUUAGGUACUGUACAAACCUCGGCUCCACCUAAAGUGGCGUUUUCCACCUCGAUGAUAUUUCAAAGACGCGAAACAGUUUUUAUAUAUUCGGUCGGUAAGGUAAAAACGCCGAAACGAUCUCUCGUGGAAAUCACCGGCAGAUUAAUUUCUCUUCAUUAGAGGGAGAGAUUCCCCUCAUCUCGUAGCCUCGUCGAGUACUCAGGAUAUCGAUACUUUAAUAACGCUCUUCUCCACUUCACGAGUUCAGAGUUCAAUUGCCUUUUUUGUCAUUAAUUGUCGUUUCACGAUGGCGUCCGCUAGAGAGCGCUGUGAAAAGCACUCGAAACGCGCACAGGGAAUCCCUGCUGGAGCACCGGGGCACAAAGUCAGCCUCCGUUUGAUCGUUUACUUGUCGUUUUCGCAUCACUUGAUAGGCAAUUGUUUCGACAAACUUGGGGUGCAGCGUUUUUUCUUUGUAACCAGCCUCCUCUGGUCUCGUUCCCGCGCAUACGGCCUUUCGUUUAAUCCCUUCAUGUAAAUGCAACAGAGAAUUCUUUUUAAGCCGUAUUUACGCGCUUUACAUAUUUCACCUUCUGCAAACGUUUCAGGCGGGCUUGGCAAUCGCGUUUGGUACACACACCGACACGGUGAUCUCAAAUCGUUGUCGAAUGUCGAGAAAACGAACCGCACUUUUUCUCAGGCUUGUGUCGUCGUCGAUUCCCCUCCUUAUCUACCGACCCUGCCACCACCAAUGCCACAGGGGGCUCUACGACCGAUGAUAAACACUGUAGCAUCGGUAGCUGGAUGCACGCUUUUUUGUCGGCUGCUCUCCCGCGUAUUUUGCACGCUUAAAAAGUUUCAGCUCUGCUAUAUAACGAGCUUAAGACCUCGCGCGGUUAACGAGCAAUGAUUUACCACGUUCCCUGCCAUAUGGCAACUACCAAUACAUACACGCACACGAAUGAACACUUGCACGUCUGAAUACAAACGAUUCGUGUGCGCGUUCGAGAGCGGCGACUGUAUAAAUCACGGCCGGCGUACAGGCCUAAUAUAAUCGCGCCUAAUAAAGUUGGCAGCCACUAAAUUUUCUUAACUCGGCCCCCUCCCCUUACUCCGAUUCGACGAUGUAAUUCUCCAACGAGCAUGCACGCUCCGCGCUCUCUAGGAAUUUGCUGCAGUCGAUUCCAACUGAAACACGAUGGAAAGUUUAGAAACAGGUGGAAGUUAAGAUGUUCGUGAGCACUGUACAAUUACUCGUUAAAGAAACUUUCUAUAACUAACUAUAAGUUCCAAAAAUUCCAUCCAAAUAUGACCAAAUCGUAUACUUUCAGGAAAUAUGGGACCCGGGUACAUCCACUAAAUAACGUCAUCAUUGACCAGUCUAGAGGUAUCGUCCAAUAUGGCCGACGACAGAAGUGGAAGGGAGAUAGAAGAAAGAAAAAUUGGAUUUCAUGGUCGAAGAAUAUCGAAUGGCCAGAAAUAAAUCGUUUCCCAAGCAAGAACCGCUUUUCGAAGGACGACUUAGUUAAGGGACUGAACUCGUGUUUGGCUCGGCACUAGCCCAACCAUGUAUUUACAUGAGAGAUUUACGGUACGCUGCUACCGAUCCCUACCAUGUAUAUUCUCGGUGCAUUAGCGUUCGAACGGCUGGAGAACGUCGCCAGCAGAAGCGACUAGUUUGACCUUUGGACCGGGUUCCUUUCCCUCGGCGCUGCAUCUGCAAAGCAAACUCCCCAGGGGCCACGCGAUUACGUUUUCUUCCAUUUUCAUCAAUUUGACGAGCUCUUGCCCAUAAUUCGUAUCUCUCUCUCGCUUUCGAGCUUUCCGCAUUUCCCGCACGGUGUCACUGCUUUGCCGCGAGAUAAAUUUCAUACAGCCAAUUAUCCACGGAGAGAUUCGGUAUUAGAAUGAUUAGCUAACAGCCUAUCUAUAUACGAUUUGUGCUAUGAUAUGCCUCGCGAGAAGAAGAAACGAUAGGUUAUGAGGCACAUUUCUCGUUACGGACCAUCCAGGGUAUUUCGUCUGAUUAAUUCAACAAACCCGUCCUCGAAUUUAAUCCUGCCACGGUAUGCAUUUCACAGUGUCGCUGUCCAUGAAAAAAGUGACAGCCAUGAUAUUAAUAUUAUUCGAGGGAGAUAAACGCAAAGGGCAACCGCCAUUAUGUGGACGCAUAUGUGUACGCCGACUGUCAGCCACCUAUCGAUCAUCGCCACAAUUAUCGGCGAGCCAAGAGCAAUACGGGAUUCGUCGAGAUCGAGAAAUGACGCCAUUGAAGCGGUUGGUAUAUCAAUAUCUACUAAAAAUUAAUGCACUUUCUUUUUAUUUUUAAAGAUUCUUCGAUUCCUCCUCUGCCAGUUAUCUCCUCACUGAUGAUUUUUUUAACGACCAUGAUUUUUUUUCGUUUUUAAUAACCAAACAUUUCACGACUAUCUCGCCGUCACACUAUCAAAAAGCUUCCACAUGAGAACACACUGUCCUGAAUUCGAAGGACCUAUCAACACUAAUAACGAUACGUGACCAUCAAAGACGCUAGAUCCCCUCGCCGGAUCAUCGAGUUGCAAAAAAGGAAUAAAGUAAAAGCGAGCAAUUAAAAGCCAACAAGUCAGGCCUCUUGUCCCUCUAUGCUUCGGACCCCGUUCAACCCACCCUCCUCUUACAAACCCUUUCAAACCUUUGCAUCAUCGUCCAAUCAAGGUAACCGCGUUUCAACUGUCGACUGUUUACGUGUGCGCGCACGCACGCACAUAUAGGCACACAGAUCAGACAGACUGUGCGUUGUGUAUACUAUCCGUUGAGAACCUUCCCUUGUUAGGAGUCAUUCAAACAUUUGCCAUAUCACGAUCAUUCCGAGGCAUUUCUUGCUGACUAGAACUAGAAAGACGGUCUUAUUGAGCAGUUGUUCUUGUUUUCCUCUUGUGUGCCACAAGAAUUAAUUUCGAAACCGUGAACGGUCACCUUUUCUUCAGUUGCUCUGAAGUUUGUCCAAGUUUCUGCGUAUGAGAGCCGUGAUUUAGCAUAGUGAUUCUCAAGAAUGAAUUUUGGUAUAGAGAGACUGGAAUGUGAAGACAUUAUACCCGAUGAAAAAGAAAUUUAAACUAUGACGUAACCGGUAACCACGAUAUUUCUGUAUGUCUGCACGAAUUCGCAAUUCCUAUGGAUGAUGUGGGCUCCAUGAUAUUCAUGCGAAGGCAGCAUUUACGAGAUGCGAUUCUAAAAACGCGUCCACCAAGCCUCGAGCUCAUUCAAAACAGUUACACGUCGCACAAAGACCCUGAUGGGAAGGCAAAAAGACAUCGGACAGGCUCUGAAGACUUCCUUGGAAUACCAGCGACACACUUUGAAAGGGCGCCAUCUAGAAGACACGUUUGUGCGUCUGAAGUUUCUUCUGAAAACAAGAUCGAGAUAACCUCAAAGCCGACAGAGGUCGACGGGAUGCGCAUCGAUUGAAAAUCGAAACGUCAUUCUCGUCGGGUUGCGUUGUUCUGACAUGAGCAGCGGACUUGGGGUAACCUACCGCCUCGAAUUAGCGACCCGUUCGCCUCCUCUGCCUUGGAUGAGCAUGUUUUCUCGAUUAUCCCAUGAAGAACCCCUCGCAUUGCCCGCGGUCCUCUCUGUUGAAUAUCAAACGAGGCAUACAGGUGAAAGUAUAGAGUAAGAGAGAGAUGCUCGGUGCCUUAGUCAUCCUAGACGUAUUGUUGGACCAUCAACGGAGAGAGAGUAGGUAGAACAAUGCCGCCAUGCGUCACGACGCCUGGACGUCUGCAGUGAAUGCAGCUAUGUGGAGAAUAAUUAUCGUUGUUUGCACUUCGUUUUCCUGUCCGUCGUUGGGACGUUAAUAUUUUUCGGCCUUAAUUGAUGCGCCGAUAAUGGCACGUGGGCUCCACGGAAUGGACGCUUGUUUAGUCGGGACCGUGGUCGGCUCCCAUUUAUAUAGAUGGAAAGGGAGAUGAAGGUGGAUACAUACACGCAUACACAGCACGCUGACGCUCAGUUCAACGUCAAUGAGCAGUACACAAUGGACAAUAAUGUAUUCCUUCUGGCAUGGUGUCAUUCCCUUUUGUUGUCAAUGUAAGACGAAUGAAUUUUGAACCGAGGAAUGUGACUUAUGUUUGAUCAUAUUUACCCAGUAAGUGU
Molecule: long non-coding RNA, 4653 nt
Organism: Eufriesea mexicana
Lineage: Eukaryota; Metazoa; Arthropoda; Insecta; Hymenoptera; Apidae
Exons: 5
Source: RefSeq, a predicted model, not a curated record